RNAcentral lists this ribosomal RNA (253 nucleotides) under uncultured bacterium. Its description in RNAcentral is "partial 16S ribosomal RNA". It matches the Rfam family "Bacterial small subunit ribosomal RNA", at positions 524 to 776 of the family's 1533-position model. The record is from RNAcentral.
UACAGAGGUCCCAAGCGUUGUUCGGAUUCACUGGGCGUAAAGGGUGCGUAGGUGGUGAGGUAAGUCGGAUGUGAAAUCUCCGGGCUCAACCCGGAAAUGGCAUUGGAAACUACCUUGCUGGAGGAUUUGAGGGGGGAUUGGAAUACUUGGUGUAGAGGUGAAAUUCGUAGAUAUCGAGAGGAACAUCGGUGGCGAAGGCGGCCUUCUGGACGGUGACUGACGCUGAGACGCGAAAGCGUGGGGAGCAAACAGG